ACAUGCACUCUAAAAGAAAUUCAGUAAUAAACGAAGUAAAUUGAAAUAUCUUAAUAACUUUAGGAAAAGAAAUCAAAAGAGAUUCUAUAAUUAGUGAGAAUGAAAAUAGAAAAGCCUCCUAAUAUAUAGGAAGUUUAGGUUUAAUGUGUAAACAAAAAUCAAAAUCAUUAUAAUAUUUAAAAUUUUUGGAAAUUUUUUAAAGUUUGGAUUUAAUAUUAAAUAAAUAAAAGUUUUAUAAAAGUAAAAAUAAUAAGUAAAAUGGGUUAAAGCCUGUUUGAAUAAGUAAAGGGGAACCUUCCUCUAAGGCUAAAUAUGAUAAUUUAAGCGAUAGUGAAAAGUACCGUGAGGGAAGUGAAAAAAGAUACUGUUUACCUCUAGAUAGACGAGAAGACCCUAUGCAGCUUUACUGUUGCUAGCCAUUGCGUGUGAUUGAACCAUUAGUAGUGAAUAAGGUAAUUGUUUAAAUAUAGUUGAAACGCCUUUUUGUGUUUAUCACAUUGCUGAGGACAAUGAGAACAACGGCUAGGUGGCAGUUUAUGCGGGGCACAGAUCCCAUAAAGAGUAACUGGGUAUAUCCUAAAAAUAGUGAUUUUGAUAAUUACUUGUCAAGUUUAAUGGCAUAAUCUUGCUUAACUGUUUGACCUACACGUCUAUCAGUCGCGUAAGCGGGGCAUACGAUCACGAGAUACAUAAAGGACUGGUCUCGUAUUAUAGAAUAAAGUUACGCUAGGGAUAACAGGCUGAUUGCGCUUGAGAGUACACAUUGGGAGCGCAGUUUGGCACCUCGAUGUCGGCUUAGCUUAUCCUCAUGAACGCAGGAGCCAUGAAGGGUACGACUGUUCGUCGUUUAAAAAGCUACACGAGCUGGGUUAAAUACGUCGUGAGACAGUAUGGUUUCUAUCUUCUAGUGGUAAUUAGAGUAAAAUAAAAUCAGCCCCUUUGUACGAAAGGAACUGGGUACAUUAACCUCUGGUUUACCUGUUGUUUAUGUGAACAAUAUUAAUU
Molecule: ribosomal RNA, 1005 nt
Filed under: Orbilia dorsalia
Lineage: Eukaryota; Fungi; Ascomycota; Orbiliomycetes; Orbiliales; Orbiliaceae
Description: Orbilia dorsalis large subunit ribosomal RNA
Rfam family: Bacterial large subunit ribosomal RNA
Source: RNAcentral